This 1216-nucleotide long non-coding RNA is filed under the name Apteryx owenii (little spotted kiwi). RNAcentral's name for it is "lncRNA (ENSAOWG00000019384.1)". Lineage: Eukaryota; Metazoa; Chordata; Aves; Apterygiformes; Apterygidae. The record is from RNAcentral.
AUGCCUUGCACCGCCGGGGUGCCAGUCGUCCCCCCCGCAAUGCGUCCCUCGYGCGAGCGUGCGAGGCCGUCACGUGGGCGCGUGCCUCCCUGGGCCCGGCCUCGCAGGAGAGCUUGCCUGGCCUCGCACAGCCGUGCCCACCCCCCCCGCGCCUCCCCCCGACUUCCUGCCCCACGGGCGGGCUGCCCGCAGCUUCCUGGAGGGGGUGGGGGCCCCGCGCGUGCGAGGACCGACCGGGGCUGCCAGGCAGCGCGAGGAGGAGGCAGAGCCGGACGUCGCCAGGGCCCAGGGGACCGGGCCUCCGGGCUGCCCCGACGUGUCCCCACAGGCCUAAUGGACGCGCUGUGGCCCUACGGGGUGCUCUGGGGCCUCCUCCUGCUUGUCCCGACCGUGCUGCUGGCUGCCCUCUGCGCCCGCUGCCGCGACCCCCAUGGCCAUGGUGCCCAGAUUGACAACUAUGAGUACAAGCCCCCACCCUGUGAGCCCCACAACAGCUUCAUGCUGCUGACACGGCCCAGGUGCCCCUCUCGCACCCCGAUCAAGCAGCAGCCGGUGACCUCAGCAGAGCUGUUCCUGUCCAUCCCGCGGUCCCCGCAAGCCCCUCAGAGCCGCAAGGUCUCCUUCACCCACCCGGAACCGGACAACGACAGCGUGCCCAGCUACGAGAACGAGGGUGAGGCGGGCGGCCAUCCCCGGGGUGCCUGGCCGCGGGCCCCGUCCCCUGCCCCCCCGGCGGCCCCCGAGAGCGAGGACGACUACAACAACGAGCUCUACGCCACCGGCUACGUGUGGGUGCCACCGCUGUGGGGGCCGGGGGGGCGGGGGCUGUCCCUGACAUCCCCCCCCGUCCCUGGUGUCACCCUGUGCCUUCCCCUCGCAGCGAGGUGCUCCCGGAUGGCACGGCCCAGCCCAACCCGCCCCAGCAACCCCAGGCCAGGGACAGCAGCUCCUCCGCGGCGCCUGGCGAGUACGAGAACGUCCCCGACGCCCACCGCCAGUCCCUGGCUGACAGCCUGGAGUACGUCAACGUCCCUGAGGCUGGGGCCAGCCCCACGCCCCGCUACACCAGCGAGAGCGAGGAGGACGCCCCAGACUACGAGAACCUGCAACACUGAGCACCAGGCGCCGCCGGCUGUCGCCCCGCGUUAGCGCCAGGACCGGUGGCUGGAGUCCCUCGGAACUGGCCGGGACACCCCUGUCCCUGUUAAUUUAUUGC